ACGUCAAAAAUUUUCAUCGAAAAAACGUGUUUUUCUUUAAACAAAUUUUAUCUAAUUAAAAUCAAUAAUUUCUCAAUCAAUAUUAAUAAGAACUACAUGUGCAUGGAUUGCCAGUUGGAUUGAUGUUUGUUUUAAGAAGAAAUUUCUCUCAACUAAGAUAUCCACUCGAGAAAGGUUAUUGCAAUUUGCAGCUUGCAGCAACAUCAUGUUUUAUCAAGUAUUGAACCACACAAAGGAUUAAAUCUUCAUUACAAUAUCAUUCAUAACUCCAUUUAAAUCAAUGGAAACUAAAUAUGGAUCGUUUCAUGGAGUAACAACAUACUUUGUAGUUUGGACCCAAAAUACAAUACACGUAGGUUAAUAUCGAACUUAUAAGGUGUUAAGCUGCAAUUACAAUAAAAGUGCUUGCUAUGGAAUCACCGGUGCUGAUCAUUAUUGUCAACUGUUACUUAAAAUCCAGAUGAACCAACCUUUACUUCCUAUUCUAAUAAGUUUAGAAGAAACCUAUAUAAGCAAUAAAACCAGACCAAGAAUGCUUGAUUACAAACGAUGAACUCAUUUCAUUUGCAAGUUAUGCCAUGACAUAAAUGCAUUAAAUUAGGAAGAUUUGUAUUAGAUGAAUAUUAACUUCUGUUGAUAAGAACAUUUGAUUGGUGGAAUCCAGAUUCUGUGAAUGUACAUGUAAUUGAUUGACAAGUACACAUUUGACAAGGUGGUGAGAAACGUGUAGAUCUGGCCUGCUUACAGUGGCUAUUGGAUUGGACAGAACCAAAGUGAGAGUGAACGUGUGAAUUUAUGGAGAACAUUAAAAACUAUUUUACUAUAAGUCAUAACGCAACUUAUUUUGUAUGAGUUACAUACAAAUGUCAAGCCGUGAGUACAUUAUGUAAAAACUAAAACAAUGUACCUACUGUAAUCACAACAGUAACUGUAAUCUUUUAAAAUCCAAUAGUUUUAAUGCUUAUUGAUUUUCGUAAACAAAAUAUUUCAUGUUAUAUUUCAUCAAUAAAGUUUCAUUUGAUA
Molecule: long non-coding RNA, 1023 nt
Organism: Ostrinia nubilalis (European corn borer)
Lineage: Eukaryota; Metazoa; Arthropoda; Insecta; Lepidoptera; Crambidae
Exons: 4
Source: RefSeq, a predicted model, not a curated record